This is a long non-coding RNA of Canis lupus familiaris (dog), 657 nucleotides long. RefSeq lists it as uncharacterized. NCBI's taxonomy places the organism in Eukaryota, Metazoa, Chordata, Mammalia, Carnivora, Canidae. The record is from RefSeq and is a predicted model, not a curated record. The transcript has 5 exons.
CCAAGUCCACUAACUUUAGGUGUGGCUUUCAUCCACAAGGUUGCAAGAUGGAUGCUGCUGCUUCAGUCAUCACAUUCACAUUCUAGGUCAGAAGUUCGGGGGAAGUAUCAAAAGCCUUCUCCUUGUGAUGAAAGAAAAAAUUGUUCUCAGUAAAUUCGGCAUACAUCUUAUUAAGCAGAGAGACCAACUUCCACUGUCAAACCUGGUGAGAUUGUCUGAGCUUCUCUUCCAGCUAGAGCAUGAUCAUGUGACCAAAACUUGGCCAAGAAGACCCAAGGAAAAGUACACCAUGGCAUCUGGAAAAGAUUUUCCACCAGACAGUAAGAUCAAUGUGAUCCAACUCAGAAUCCCACCCUGCAAUUUGUCUUCAUGUUUCCUUAGUUUCCUCCAAAUUGGUAACAGUUUUCAGACCUUCCUUGUCUGUCAUGAAUUUGACACUUUGGAAGAAUACAGAAAUAUCCUUCAACUGGCGUUUGCCAGAUGCUUUGUCAUUACCAGACUGAAGUUAUGCAUUUGAGAUCACUCUGCCUGCCUUGUGGAUACUCUGGUGGAUGGUAGCAGUGGAAGGUAAAAGCAGAUGACCAGUGGAGGCUAUUGCAAUAAUUCAGCCUGCUGAAUUGUGUCAUGGGAUGGGGACAUUGUCCAUUCAUGCCCUCA